GGUGAUUUGUCCGAGUGGCUGAAGGAGCAGCCCUGGAAAGUUUGUAUCCGGCAACGUAUCGAAAGUUUAAAUCUCUCACUCACCGCCA
RNAcentral lists this transfer RNA (88 nucleotides) under Vibrio parahaemolyticus. RNAcentral describes it as "tRNA-Ser". It matches the Rfam family "tRNA". Rfam says of the family: Transfer RNA (tRNA) molecules are approximately 80 nucleotides in length. Their secondary structure includes four short double-helical elements and three loops (D, anti-codon, and T loops). Further hydrogen bonds mediate the characteristic L-shaped molecular structure. tRNAs have two regions of fundamental functional importance: the anti-codon, which is responsible for specific mRNA codon recognition, and the 3' end, to which the tRNAs corresponding amino acid is attached (by aminoacyl-tRNA synthetases). tRNAs cope with the degeneracy of the genetic code in two manners: having more than one tRNA (with a specific anti-codon) for a particular amino acid; and 'wobble' base-pairing, i.e. permitting non-standard base-pairing at the 3rd anti-codon position. Lineage: Bacteria; Pseudomonadati; Pseudomonadota; Gammaproteobacteria; Vibrionales; Vibrionaceae. The record is from RNAcentral.